AUUCCACAAGCAAGUGAGUCACCAAAAUAUAAUCUACAAAAGUAGUGCAACAUGUCUAGCAGCAUUUCUCCCAUCAAGUUUGCUUUCUUCAUUAUGUUCUUCAGUGCAAUUAAUAUAUCAUGGAUUCAAGAGAUGACAGUGAUGGCUCAUCGAGAUUUGCCUCUAGAAAUAGCUAUGGUGAAAACAAAACUACUUUCCCUCACAGAUUUCAUUACUUGUGGGACAGAUUGCUCAACUGAUAGUGAUUGUUCUGACGGCUGGCGUUGUACAUAUUGCAAAUAUCAGGAUGAAGUAAGUAUAUUAAUCCCAAUUCCUAUCUACAAGCCUGCUGGCUAUUAUUGUGAAAGUUAAAUCUUUUCUUAAAGAUGUUCCCUAUGUAUAAUUAAAUCUAUGAAUGUGACAUGUGUGACGGUGUGGGAAUUAUAAUGUUUGUCAAGUAAUAAGAUUUUGUGUUAUUUAAUAAUUUCUGUAUAUUUUUCCUUUGAAACUUUAGUGUUUUGAGUGAGAAAGAAAUAAAUGGAGUUGGAAUUAACCUUUGAUAGUUUACAACAUGUAAUAUUAGUAAUUCACCUUGUGGUUUUCAGUCAUUCGUAAUAAAUAUUUAUUAUUGUC
This is a long non-coding RNA of Nicotiana attenuata, 612 nucleotides long. RefSeq lists it as uncharacterized. The transcript has 2 exons. The record is from RefSeq and is a predicted model, not a curated record. NCBI's taxonomy places the organism in Eukaryota, Viridiplantae, Streptophyta, Magnoliopsida, Solanales, Solanaceae.